UUGCAUAUCCAAAAAGCGGAGGAAAAGAAACUAACAAGGAUUCCCCUAGUAACUGCGAGUGAAGCGGGAAAAGCUCAAAUUUAAAAUCUGGCGGUCUCUGGCCGUCCGAGUUGUAAUCUAGAGAAGUAAUGCCCGUGCUGGACCGUGUAUAAGUCUCCUGGGAUGGGGCGUCAUAGAGGGUGAGAAUCCCGUCUUUGACACGGACUACCAGUGCAUUGUGGUAUGCUCUCAAAGAGUCGAGUUGUUUGGGAAUGCAGCUCAAAAUGGGUGGUAAAUUCCAUCUAAAGCUAAAUAUUGGCGAGAGACCGAUAGCGAACAAGUACCGUGAGGGAAAGAUGAAAAGAACUUUGGAAAGAGAGUUAAACAGUACGUGAAAUUGCUGAAAGGGAAACGCUUGAAGUCAGUCGCGUUGGCCGGGGAUCAGCCUUGCUUUUGCAUGGUGUACUUUCUGGUUGACGGGUCAGCAUCAAUUUURACCGCUGGAAAAAGACCUGGGGAAUGUGGCAGCUUCGGCUGUGUUAUAGCCCCUAGUCGCAUACAGUGGUUGGGAUUGAGGAACUCAGCACGCCGCAAGGCCGGGUUCGACCACGUCGUGCUUAGGAUGCUGGCAUAAUGGCUUUAAGCGACCCGUCUUGAAACACGGACCA
RNAcentral lists this ribosomal RNA (647 nucleotides) under Agaricus megacarpus. Its description in RNAcentral is "partial large subunit ribosomal RNA". The record is from RNAcentral. Lineage: Eukaryota; Fungi; Basidiomycota; Agaricomycetes; Agaricales; Agaricaceae.